This 489-nucleotide ribosomal RNA is filed under the name Gemelliphila palaticanis. RNAcentral's name for it is "bacterial SSU rRNA". It matches the Rfam family "Bacterial small subunit ribosomal RNA", at positions 9 to 479 of the family's 1533-position model. Lineage: Bacteria; Bacillati; Bacillota; Bacilli; Caryophanales; Gemellaceae. The record is from RNAcentral.
GAGUUUGAUUCUGGCUCAGGACGAACGCUGGCGGCGUGCCUAAUACAUGCAAGUCGAGCGGAGUUGAAUAAGUGCUUGCACUAAUUCAACUUAGCGGCGAACGGGUGAGUAACACGUAAAGAACCUGCCUCAUAGACUGGGACAACUACUGGAAACGGUAGCUAAUACCGGAUAACAUAUUUUACCGCAUGGGAAAAUAUUGAAAGUCGGUCAUGCUGACACUAUGAGAUGGCUUUGCGGUGCAUUAGCUAGUUGGUAGGGUAAAGGCCUACCAAGGCGACGAUGCAUAGCCGACCUGAGAGGGUGAUCGGCCACACUGGGACUGAGACACGGCCCAGACUCCUACGGGAGGCAGCAGUAGGGAAUCUUCCGCAAUGGACGAAAGUCUGACGGAGCAACGCCGCGUGAGUGAAGAAGGAUUUCGGUUCGUAAAACUCUGUUGUUAGGGAAGAAUGAUUGUAUAGUAACUAUAUACAGUAGAGACGNACC